GUCCCCGCCCUGAGGGAACGGCCAGGAUGGCGGCGGGAAGGAGAGGCGCGGCGGGCGGACGCUGAGGAAACCGAGGGACGGUGCUGCCCUGGAAAGGAGACGACGCCCAAUCUGUCUGCGACCAACUUUUCCCCUGUAGAGAUGCCCAUCUGCGGGGCAGGACCGAGACAACGCUGCGUCAGCUGGAUAUCUGGGACAAAAGUAACCCGAACCCAUCGGCAGCGUCACCACAAAACUGCCGAGCGCUGCCUCAGUGCCGCGCAGAGCUGAUACGCGGUGUAUCACAGCCUUCCCUUCGAGCGAGGCGCGCCAUCACUGCCUUCAGGUGGCAGAAACGUCCCCCUCAGAUCCCUCCUCGGCAGCACCGCGUAUUAUUCUUGCACUAAUGUGCUUUUCCAGCCCUGGAGCCAUCCAGAGUUGAUCGUAUUCCCGCGUACGUACUUAGAAAUUGGCUAAUAAACAGAAUGCUUUCCUUUUAAUUAGAGCCGUUUUUCUAACACAAGCCCUUUGUAAAUAGUCUACAAGUGAAUAAUUAGUAUAAGGAAAUCACCAGAAAAUGUAAAAUUUAAAUCUAGCUUAAUCAAGUUGAAUUAAUGAAGCCUUAGACUUCUAUAAAACCUUUGAACAUGCUCCUGUUGUUAAUAAAGCGAGUGCAUUAGAUUAAUAUAACCCCUUCUGGAACCUGCUCUGUUUAGUGUUUAAGGAAUGAUUUUAAUUAGACUCUUCAUUCUGUGGAAACAUUAGGAAGGGAGAAGAUGUAUUAGUUGGCUUUGGAGUUUCACAGGAGCAGUGGACAAACCUGUCCCGUGUGUAGGGACUGAAGCUGUGGUUAGCACAGUGAGGUACAGAGGUCGGUCUGCCCACUGCUGUGUUGGGGGCUUGUAGAGGGUCUUCCUCUUUCUUUUCGGUCCUCUACCCUCCCCCUGAGGCUGGGUAUCGGUACAUGGAGCCCAGGGAGCUGGAAGAGUUGGACAAGGUUCACUUGGCUGAAUGAGUCCUGCAGCCAGGAGGGAUGGGGCUGGCAGUAGCCAACGCUCACAGCAUGUGUGCGCCCAAAGGCCAAGGGGGUCUGUCCGUGCUGGCAGCCCUCUGCCUCCCCCCCAGUCAGAGAUGGCCCUCAGAGUAGCAGCAAGGUCACUGCUGCUCAAAGUGAUGCUACUUUGCAGGCACUGGGUGUUAGGUCUUACAGGACUCCCUUCACUAUAGAGCACGUGCACUCAGAUGUGGGAUCAAGAGAAAAGCCUUAGAAAACUCUAUUUUAUGCUAGAGAAAGGAGUGCAAGAGAUUAAGCAAAGAUCUGCUCCCCUGCAGAAGCAAGCUUCUUGUUCCAGGGUCACUUGUGACCCCACCAUUACCAUACUGGGUACCUGCAGUCCAUAAAAGCGAGCGUACAUACAACCUCCACCCAACAACGCAGUUUGGGACUAAUACCUGAAGCUUUUGAAAAAGACUCUUAGAAAUGGUAACAUCCAGUUACAGUUAAAGGUACUUUAAUUCCUUCCAAUAGAAGGAUAGCUUGAAGGUACAUCAGAAAUGAUUUCAGGUUUUCUUUUGGAAAAAAAAAAAAAGACAUGGCUUCAAAAUUCAGGAACAGCAUCAGAUAAACAAAGUGCUACCAUUAUGCACCUGUUUUGAAGUGGUACAAAGAGAAGCUUACAGGUUCAAACAAAUGGCAUGAAUGACUGAGAAAUCGAUUCAGAUAAUGCUUGUUUACAGGGACAAAAACCUGUAUUGACAACUAUGAAUAAGCAUACAUGUUAAAAAACCUAACUAUUUACACACAUGGAUAUAUUUGCUUUCUUUUGGCACUAGAAAUUACAGACAAAAGAUUCCAUUUUAUAGCAAUUAAAAUUCAAACUUAAAAUAACCUUCAAGUCGUUUAAGUCAUUUAAGUACAGUAACUUUAAAUUGCCACCAAUUCCAUAUUUUAACCCUGGAAAUUCAAGCCAUAAAGCCUAAAUUCAGCUUCCACCCGUGACAAGUUUCACUCAGUAGGAUCAACUGCAUGUGAGGAGCUCAAGCAGCAUUGGAGAAUUAACAAGAGAUAGAGACAUGUUCAAUAGAAAUUAAUCUCCCAUCCUUAUCCAGGGUGGACAUUACCUCUCAAUGCUUUUUUGAAUGCAUACACAGAUGAAAUCAAGUAAAAACGGGCACCCAUUACUUAUAUUCAGUCAAAUUAGACAUUACGUGAACAGUCAGAGCGCAUGAUGCCCAUCUGCAGUAUUUCUUCAGUGUUGGUGAGAAAUGUGUUCAUCCCUAUUCAUUCCUAUUGUCAGAAAAAAAUAUUUAAGAUUACAUUUAAAUAUGGUUUACUUUUUUAGUACAUUAGUUUACUCUUCAGCUGUUGCCAGUAGUAAACCCUUCCGUUUCACAGGAAGAUCGGUAUCAUCAGUACAGUAGCAAGAAUGUUUUGUCAUCCUGUAAAAUCCAUGCAAUCCACUGUAAAGGGAUAAGGAAACCUUGAAAGAAGCAUUUGAAUAUCCAGACUUUCCAUUUCCUGCUCAUGGCAUUUUGACUUUACAGAACCUGAAGAUUUGAUUACUUUCCAAACAGUUUUUAUAGGUUUUCCAACAAUAACAGACAUGUUAGCAACAAUGGCACAUUUUCCUUUUUCUUUUUUCCACAAAGCAUUAAAUUAAGACUAGCUAGGUUCUUUUCCUUAAAGAUCUACAAUCAAUUAGGAAUACAUAAAAAUUAACAUUUGUGAGGCAUCAGGGCAAGUAAUAAUAGCACAUCAACCCGCCACCGCAACAGGUAGUGGACUUCCAUCUUAGAGCAAAAAGGAAUCAAACAAAAAAAAUUAUAGGCUUCUUAACUAUCUGUUCUCUCUCUAGAUGGCAAAAAAAAACAUUACAGUUAGUAUUUUGUUUUGCUUUGCAAGAAGCAAGACCUGAGCAGAAGCUUUUGUUGAGAUGGAAUAAAGUAGAUGAUCUUAUUUUGCAUUGAUCGCAUGCAGACUGGAUGUUGUAUCGCCUCCGGUAACCGGACUGAAUCCAAGAUGGACCCAACACUUACAGAACACUCUCCCCUUUCCUAUGUUAUUUGGGCAUGUCUCAAGAAGGGAUUAAUCUUGCUCUGCUAAGUGUAUUCCUAAGCAUUAAAAAAAAAAGAGAAAAGCAGAAUUUGAUUACGGCAAAUUCUGUAAGGAAAAGGAAUCAGGGAAUAUAAGAGCAAGUCUUCCCAGAAGACAGUCUUCUCUACACAUCCAAAGAGAACUAGCUGUUUGAAUUUGAGAUUAGCUAAUACAAUCUUUUAAAUAUUUCAAAAGCACAGCAUGUUAAAACAACUUUCAUUACACUUUGUGAAAUACCAACAACCUCUACGUGAAAUCAUUACAAGCUAUUCAAACACAGUCUCUUAACAUGGGGGGAGAAAAAAAAAGUGUAUCUAAAGCAUAUUUACACGCUGCUACCAAGGAGAGAAAGCAGUAAGUAGCAGCUUCUUUAUACAAAAGCUUCAAAGAAUCUUGCUAAUUGAAAUAACCCAAAAAGUUUGCUUGCACUGAGUAUUUAUUUUCACCUGAACAGAAUUUCAGAACCACAGAAAAUCUUACUAGAGCCCAUCCCAUCUUUUUAUUCCGAGUUUGCAUGGUCUUCUCAUGCAAACUGAUUUACUUGAGGUACAGUACUCCAAGUUACUACUAAAACAGCUGAGUCAAGUGGUUUUUCUUUUUGCAGAAUGUGAACAUACACUUUAUCUUCAUACAAGGCAUAUGCACUACAGCCUCAUCUUAUGACUGCCACAUAAUUCAAGAAACGGAGUGCGCAGCAGUAACUGCCAGAUGGAGCACUUUCCAAGUACUGAAAUAAUGGAACCUAAAUGAACUGAUUAUCAGUCCACAGAACCACAAGGUUGCAUUGCACUACAUAAAUACUGACCAAAUGCCCCCCAAAAUGCCAAGAAACUAUGUGCAAGUCCAAAACAGAAUAUUACAACUGUUUCUUUCAGUGAAGACCAACCAGUCCCUUUGUGUACACAUUUAGUUUUAUUGUAACAAAGCAACUUGUACACUUUAACGUUUAAAACUGAGCAUCUUUCUUUCCUUUCCAGUGAAACAAAAAAAAAAAAGAAUUUAAAAAUAAACAAGAACAAAAUUACAAUAGAGAAUGUCAAUUCCAAAUAAGAUCCUACAGGUUCUGCUGAUUCUCCAUCAAGUGGCAGGGCUCAAAGUCAUCAUUAGGAGAAGAUUUUAUUUUAAAAGUGUCAUCUUAAACUGCAAGGAUGUUUGUUAAACAUCACAAUUAAACAUGCCAAAGGAGAAGAAGCCAUGUUGUCAAAAUGCCCACUUACCCCACCCACACAUCUGAAACCCACCCCAGGCUGACCUUCUAUAACCCCAUUUUUUUUUUUUUAGCUUUUUCUUUUUUUUUUUAAA
Gallus gallus (chicken) is the source of this 4375-nucleotide long non-coding RNA. RefSeq lists it as uncharacterized. The transcript has 2 exons. Lineage: Eukaryota; Metazoa; Chordata; Aves; Galliformes; Phasianidae. The record is from RefSeq and is a predicted model, not a curated record.